This 578-nucleotide ribosomal RNA is filed under the name Colletotrichum sp. BAB-4658. Its description in RNAcentral is "eukaryotic LSU rRNA". The stretch from base 205 to 358 matches the Rfam family "5.8S ribosomal RNA". Lineage: Eukaryota; Fungi; Ascomycota; Sordariomycetes; Glomerellales; Glomerellaceae. The record is from RNAcentral.
UCCGUAGGUGAACCUGCGGAGGGAUCAUUACUGAGUUUACGCUCUACAACCCUUUGUGAACAUACCUAUAACUGUUGCUUCGGCGGGUAGGGUCUCCGUGACCCUCCCGGCCUCCCGCCCCCCCGGGCGGGUCGGCGCCCGCCGGAGGAUAACCAAACUCUGAUUUAACGACGUUUCUUCUGAGUGGUACAAGCAAAUAAUCAAAACUUUUAACAACGGAUCUCUUGGUUCUGGCAUCGAUGAAGAACGCAGCGAAAUGCGAUAAGUAAUGUGAAUUGCAGAAUUCAGUGAAUCAUCGAAUCUUUGAACGCACAUUGCGCCCGCCAGCAUUCUGGCGGGCAUGCCUGUUCGAGCGUCAUUUCAACCCUCAAGCUCUGCUUGGUGUUGGGGCCCUACAGCCGAUGUAGGCCCUCAAAGGUAGUGGCGGACCCUCCCGGAGCCUCCUUUGCGUAGUAACUUUACGUCUCGCACUGGGUUGGGGAGGGACUCUUGCCGUAAAACCCCCCAAUUUUCCAAAGGUUGACCUCGGAUCAGGUAGGAAUACCCGCUGAACUUAAGCAUAUCAAUAAGCGGAGGAA